CCUACGGGGGGCAGCAGUGGGGAAUUUUCCACAAUGGGCGAAAGCCUGAUGGAGCAACGCCGCGUGUGUGAUGAAGGUUUUCGGAUCGUAAAGCACUUUCGACCGGGACGAAAAACCUCUGGCUAACAUCCAGGGGCCUGACGGUACCGGGAGAAGAAGCACCGGCUAACUCUGUGCCAGCAGCCGCGGUAAUACAGAGGGUGCAAGCGUUGUUCGGAAUUAUUGGGCGUAAAGCGCGUGUAGGCGGCUUGGCAAGUCAGAUGUGAAAGCCCUCGGCUUAACCGAGGAAGUGCGUCUGAAACUGCUGAGCUUGAGUGUCGGAGAGGAUGGCGGAAUUCCGCAAGUAGAGGUGAAAUUCGUAGAUAUGCGGAGGAACACCGGUGGCGAAGGCGGCCAUCUGGACGACUACUGACGCUGAGACGCGAAAGCGUGGGGAGCAAACAGGCUUAGAUACCCGGGUAGUC
This 464-nucleotide ribosomal RNA is filed under the name uncultured Archangiaceae bacterium. RNAcentral describes it as "bacterial SSU rRNA". It matches the Rfam family "Bacterial small subunit ribosomal RNA", at positions 338 to 795 of the family's 1533-position model. The record is from RNAcentral. Lineage: Bacteria; Pseudomonadati; Myxococcota; Myxococcia; Myxococcales; Archangiaceae.